GCCGGGGAGGUAGCGGCGCCCUGUACCUGCAAUCCGCUAUAGCAGGGGUGAUGGUCGGCCUAGGGUUUAUUUUGUAGGGCUGCCCUUUAUAAGUGAUGUUGACGUCUGGGUCUUAUGCAUCAGAGACCUGCGAACCGUGUCAGGACAGGAAUGUAGCAGCACUAAGCAGUGCUCUUCUGAGUGACAUGAGGGUGCCUGGACCGAGUUAACUGUAGAGGUAACGCUUAUGAG
This 231-nucleotide signal recognition particle RNA is filed under the name uncultured Eubacterium sp. Its description in RNAcentral is "Bacterial large signal recognition particle RNA". It matches the Rfam family "Bacterial large signal recognition particle RNA", at positions 9 to 234 of the family's 256-position model. From Rfam's summary of the family: The signal recognition particle (SRP) is a universally conserved ribonucleoprotein involved in the co-translational targeting of proteins to membranes. Archaeal SRP consists of a 7S RNA and homologues of the eukaryotic SRP19 and SRP54 proteins. In most bacteria, the SRP consists of a 4.5S RNA and the Ffh protein (a homologue of the eukaryotic SRP54 protein). The record is from RNAcentral. Lineage: Bacteria; Bacillati; Bacillota; Clostridia; Eubacteriales; Eubacteriaceae.